Molecule: long non-coding RNA, 429 nt
Filed under: Pan troglodytes (chimpanzee)
Lineage: Eukaryota; Metazoa; Chordata; Mammalia; Primates; Hominidae
Description: lincRNA
Source: RNAcentral
UUCACCUAGCCCAUGGCCAAGUCAGGGUCUCUGAAGAACCCCCACGAAAAGUGCCAACUGGAAGAGCCAACAUUUGGAUCUUACCAUUUGGAAGGCUUUCAAUAGUCAAGAGAGCAUCACAGCCAGCAUCUGCCUCCAUCUCUCAUCCCUCCACAGCUAUUAUAUUGGAAAAUCCAUCAGCAGUUAGGUCACAUAGGAGAGUGAUCAGCAUAUCUUGGGAGCACAGUAGACACAGGUUAAGGAGAUCCCCUGCCUGCAGUCUCCCAAUCAAAUCAUAGGAACACUGUGAGACUCUGGGGUGAGCUUGCAUUUGCAGACAGGAACUGAAGGGCUGGAGAGGUUACACUCACCCAGGUGCAGUUGCCCAGCAUGCGAAAGAGGAGACAUUCUAAACCCUGCACUUAAAAAAUCAAUCAAUAAAUAAAGUUA